Molecule: unclassified non-coding RNA, 240 nt
Filed under: soil metagenome
Description: partial contains 5.8S ribosomal RNA, internal transcribed spacer 2, and large subunit ribosomal RNA
Source: RNAcentral
AACGCACGAGACCUGCGGACCUGCGGAAGGAUCAUUACAGAGUUCUCGCCCUCCUGGGUAGAUCUCCCACCCACUGUGAUUGCUACCGUGUUGCUUUGGCGGGCCGCUGGGCCCUGCCCGCCGCCGGCCCCGGCCGGCGCGUGCCCGCCAGAGGCUCUCCCAAACCCGAAUGUCUGGUGUCGUCUGAGUAGCACAUAAUCGUUAAAACUUUUAACAACGGAUCUCUAGAUCGGAAGAGCA